CACUAACUCUCUUUCUGAAUAUUGAAGCAAACAACCCUUGUUUCCAACUCCACAAAAAUCUCUCUAUUUUUCAACCACAAUAAACCAUUUCAUUUUCUUCUUCAUGCUCCCAUAACACACCAUAUGUUUUUUCUUCCAACCAUAUAUCAUACACUACAUAAACCAUUCACACCCACUCCAUACACAAAAAAUAAAAAAAAAUGUUAGAAACAUGAGCAACAACAACUUUCAUCAUCAUCACCUCCAUCUUUCAUUAUCAUCAUCUUCCAACACAACUAAACCAUAUUCAACCAUCAUCUUCUUUCUCCCUACUUACCAUCCAAAGAUCUUAUGGUAUUUCACUCUCUAAACUCCAACAAACAACCAACAAUCUUCAACAACAAAAAAACUCCAAACACCUAUUCGCAACUUCGACGGCCACCGGAAACGAAACUCAAUGACUGAGCAUCACUUCACCGCGUCAUUGGCCAAAUUCGACGCAACCACCACUACCGGCGAGUGUUGAGACGGUGAGCGGAGAGAGUUUGAUAUACUUAUUUUAUUCUUUUUAUUAUUAUUGUUGUUUUUGAAAUUGAAAAAAGUUAUUGAUUUUUUAUAAAAAAAAAAAUAGGUAGAAAAAGUGAAGAAAGAAUAUGUUGUUGUUAUUACUGAACGAUACAAGGGAAGGAGAAGAGGAAAAGAAUUUUGUUUUUUUUUAAAAAACCUCUUCAUGUCUGCCACGUGUCGCGUAGUGGGAGGUGUUUCUUUUUUUAUUUUAAAAUUUUAAUUUUUAUCUCUCUGCCAUAUUAAUCUCACCGUCUUUUUAUUUCUAUUUUAUUUAUUUAUUUUGUGUAUUUUAUUAUUAUUAUUAUUAUUAUUAUUAUUAUUAUUAUUAUUAUUAUUAUUAUUAUUAUUAUUAUUAUUAUUAUUAUUAUUAUUAUUAUUGUUGUUGAUUAUUAUUAACAGUAUUUAUUAUGAUUAUCGUUAUUAUUUUUGUUCAUUACUAUUAUUAUCAUCCUUAUUAUUAGUUGUAGUAUUAUAUUAUUAUUAUUAUUAUUUAUUGUUAUUAUUUGAUUAUUAUUAUUAUUAGUUAUCAUUAUUUAUUAUUGUUGUUAUAAUUUUUUAAUUAUUAAUUGUUAUGGUAACCACUAAUUAUUAAUUUAUUCAUUAUUGUUAAUUUUAUUGUUGAUUAUUGUUUGUAUCUAUUUACUA
This 1191-nucleotide long non-coding RNA is filed under the name Lathyrus oleraceus (garden pea). RNAcentral describes it as "Pisum sativum (pea) long non-coding RNA (PSAT_LNC006649)". Lineage: Eukaryota; Viridiplantae; Streptophyta; Magnoliopsida; Fabales; Fabaceae. The record is from RNAcentral.